Molecule: ribosomal RNA, 484 nt
Filed under: uncultured bacterium
Lineage: Bacteria
Description: partial 16S ribosomal RNA
Rfam family: Bacterial small subunit ribosomal RNA
Source: RNAcentral
AUUGAACGCUGGCGGCAGGCCUAACACAUGCAAGUCGAGCGGAUGAAGGGAGCUUGCUCCUGGAUUCAGCGGCGGACGGGUGAGUAAUGCCUAGGAAUCUGCCUGGUAGUGGGGGAUAACGUCCGGAAACGGGCGCUAAUACCGCACACGUCCUGAGGGAGAAAGUGGGGGAUCUUCGGACCUCACGCUAUCAGAUGAGCCUAGGUCGGAUUAGCUAGUUGGUGGGGUAAAGGCCUACCAAGCCGACGAUCCGUAACUGGUCUGAGAGGAUGAUCAGUCACACUGGAACUGAGACACGGUCCAGACUCCUACGGGAGGCAGCAGUGGGGAAUAUUGGACAAUGGGCGAAAGCCUGAUCCAGCCAUGCCGCGUGUGUGAAGAAGGUCUUCGGAUUGUAAAGCACGUUAAGUUGGGAGGAAGGGCAGUAAGUUAAUACCUUGCUGUUUUGACGUUACCAACAGAAUAAGCACCGGCUAACUUCGUG